UACGUAGGCAGCGAGCGUUGUUCGGAUUUACUGGGCGUAAAGGGCGCGUAGGCGGUCGUGACAAGUCACUUGUGAAAUCUCCGGGCUUAACUCGGAACGGUCAAGUGAUACUGUCGUGCUAGAGUACAGAAGGGGCAACUGGAAUUCUCGGUGUAGCGGUGAAAUGCGUAGAUAUCGAGAGGAACACCUGCGGCGAAGGCGGGUUGCUGGGCUGAUACUGACGCUGAGGCGCGAAAGCUAGGGGAGCGAACGGG
RNAcentral lists this ribosomal RNA (254 nucleotides) under uncultured bacterium. RNAcentral's name for it is "partial 16S ribosomal RNA". It matches the Rfam family "Bacterial small subunit ribosomal RNA", at positions 524 to 776 of the family's 1533-position model. The record is from RNAcentral.